UGAAGGAAAGGAAAAGAAAGUACAGAC
Molecule: non-coding RNA, 27 nt
Filed under: Rattus norvegicus (Norway rat)
Lineage: Eukaryota; Metazoa; Chordata; Mammalia; Rodentia; Muridae
Source: RNAcentral